Molecule: ribosomal RNA, 861 nt
Filed under: uncultured Gammaproteobacteria bacterium
Lineage: Bacteria; Pseudomonadati; Pseudomonadota; Gammaproteobacteria
Description: bacterial SSU rRNA
Rfam family: Bacterial small subunit ribosomal RNA
Source: RNAcentral
GCUGGCGGUAUGCUUAACACAUGCAAGUCGAACGGAAACGAUACUAGCUUGCUAGUAGGCGUCGAGUGGCGGACGGGUGAGUAACGCGUAGGAAUCUGCCUGAUAGUGGGGGAUAGCCCGGAGAAAUUCGGAUUAAUACCGCAUAAUCUAUUCGUAGUAAAGUGGGGGACUUUCGAGCCUCACGCUAUCAGAUGAGCCUGCGUAAGAUUAGCUUGUUGGUAGGGUAAAAGCCUACCAAGGCGACGAUCUUUAGCUGGUCUGAGAGGAUGAUCAGCCACAUCGGGACUGAGACACGGCCCGAACUCCUACGGGAGGCAGCAGUGGGGAAUAUUGGACAAUGGGGGCAACCCUGAUCCAGCAAUACCGCGUGUGUGAAGAAGGCCUGAGGGUUGUAAAGCACUUUCAAUUGUGAAGAAAAGUUAACGGUUAAUAACCGUUAGCCUUGACGUUAACUUUAGAAGAAGCACCGGCUAACUCCGUGCCAGCAGCCGCGGUAAUACGGAGGGUGCAAGCGUUAAUCGGAAUUACUGGGCGUAAAGCGUGCGUAGGCGGUUUAUUAAGUCAGAUGUGAAAGCCCCGGGCUUAACCUGGGAACUGCAUUUGAAACUGGUAAACUAGAGUAUGGUAGAGGAAAGUGGAAUUUCUGGUGUAGCGGUGAAAUGCGUAGAUAUCAGAAGGAACAUCAAUGGCGAAGGCAGCUUUCUGGACCAAUACUGACGCUGAGGUACGAAAGCGUGGGUAGCAAACAGGAUUAGAUACCCUGGUAGUCCACGCCGUAAACGAUGAUAACUAGCCGUUGGGGGGAUUUACCCUUUAGUGGCGAAGCUAACGCGUUAAGUUAUCCGCCUGGGGAGUACGGCC